RNAcentral lists this ribosomal RNA (731 nucleotides) under Bacillus subtilis. RNAcentral describes it as "partial 16S ribosomal RNA". It matches the Rfam family "Bacterial small subunit ribosomal RNA", at positions 733 to 1464 of the family's 1533-position model. Lineage: Bacteria; Bacillati; Bacillota; Bacilli; Caryophanales; Bacillaceae. The record is from RNAcentral.
UCUGGAACYRCGGKGGAGGAAAAGCGGGGGAGCWCCCAGGUUUAGAUUYCCCKUGUACUUCRCSSYUAAAAGGAGGAGKGUUUAWKUGYUAGGGKGUUUYCCGCYCUUUWGUGCUGCAGGAAACRCAUAAKCCYUCCGCGGGGGGAGUACGGUCRCAWGACAGAAACUCAAAARGAAUGGRGGGGGGCCCGCACAAGCGGKGGAGCAUGUGGUUUAAUUUGAAGCAACKCGAAGAMCCUUUACCAGGUCUGACAUCCUCYGACAAUCCUAGAGAUAGGACGUCCCCUUCGGGGGCAGAGUGACAGGUGGUGCAUGGUUGUCGUCAGCUCGUGUCGUGAGAUGUUGGGUUAAGUCCCGCAACGAGCGCAACCCUUGAUCUUAGUUGCCAGCAUUCAGUUGGGCMCUCUAAGGUGACUGCCGGUGACAAACCGGAGGAAGGUGGGGAUGACGUCAAAUCAUCAUGCCCCUUAUGACCUGGGCUACACACGUGCUACAAUGGACAGAACAAAGGGCAGCGAAACCGCGAGGUUAAGCCAAUCCCACAAAUCUGUUCUCAGUUCGGAUCGCAGUCUGCAACUCGACUGCGUGAAGCUGGAAUCGCUAGUAAUCGCGGAUCASCAUGCCGCGGUGAAUACGUUCCCGGGCCUUGUACACACCGCCCGUCACACCACGAGAGUUUGUAACACCCGAAGUCGGUGAGGUAACCUUUAUGGAGCCAGCCGCCGAAGGUG